Molecule: long non-coding RNA, 1936 nt
Organism: Plodia interpunctella (Indianmeal moth)
Lineage: Eukaryota; Metazoa; Arthropoda; Insecta; Lepidoptera; Pyralidae
Exons: 3
Source: RefSeq, a predicted model, not a curated record
GUCGGAUUUUGGACCGCAUUUUGUUAUUGCGCCGCGCGCGACUACAAUACUUACGAUAAGUUUAUUUUUAUUAAAUUUCGAUGAAAAUGUUUCAAAUACCAUAUAAUAUAUUUCAUGGAGCUACCAUCAGAUUUCACACAAAGCUAUGUGAUAGUACCAGACACUUGGAUCACGGAAUUUAAAGUUAACAUGGCCUAACCAGUGGAGGACAACAAAACCACAGAGAAACAAGUGAAAAAUCAUGAAAUUUUUGAAACAUGGAAACAAUUUAGAGCCAAAUUAAUAAUAGGGGCUUUUUAAGUUGAUUUAAAUUGGUGCAAACUGGUUGGUUUGUCACUGGAGCGAUCUGCGUUAUUUGAGGGCUGCAACUAGCGAACCAGAUCGCCGUCAUGCAUUGUCAUGGAAACUGAAGCGAUGUGAGAAAUUUCAAUUCUGUAGGACAAGGAGAAGUAAAUGAAAUAUACUUUUUCGGAGGCACAACAAAGUUUAAAAAUUGUAGUUUAAUUAGAUUCACCGAGUGACGAAAACUCAAAUUUAGGUACAAAUACAAUACUAUAAAACACUAAUCCAACAGAAAGCAACAACACAAUCACAAUAAUUUCCAAUGAAUUGAUAACAAAAGAUAAUAGCAAACAUUUCAAAAAACUAACACUUUCCUUAUCACGAGAAUUUAAUACAGAACAAACAAAGAAGCAUAAACCAGAAUCGCCAAAUGAAACGGCUAAUGAAAAUGUUAUAGAAGAAACGGUUCAAGAAGACAAUAUUAUUAAGACACUUUCUCCAAUACAAUUAAGUAUAAGUAAAGUUAAAUUAUGUCACAAAAUUGAAUAUACAAUCAAGAAACCAAAUAAUCCUUCCACUUCAAACUGUGAUGACUCAUCAUCAGAAUAUUCUUCUCCCUUGUUUAAUAAACGUGAUAGAGACGAUUUCAAUGUAUUCCAGCAUUUGUGUGAUACAACGGAAAAAGUUCAUAGUUACAUGAAAAACGUUUACACACAUCUCGAAUAAUUCAGGACGAUAUUAAAUAAAAAUGCUUCCAGUUUUGAAAAAGUGCAUAGUCUAGUUGAAGAUUUAGUUGAACUGUAUGAAAUCGAUAAUUCGAGUGACUGCAAUAUUGGUUGUAGUAGUGACAGUGAUUCUGAAAGCGAUGAAAAUAGCAGACCUUCUAGUACACCGCAUACUCAACAAAAUAUUCGAAUAAAAGAUGAUAAUAUGCGAAACUCGAAUUGGACGUUAAAAUAUCAGAAAAAAGAUCCAAAUACAAAAGAAUAAUUGUCAGGAUCAGGUAUUUAAAUCUCAAUUGAAGGUCUUCUAUGAUGUCAAAAGCAAACAGAUCGCGCCACUACUUUAGCUGCAAUGUUGUAUCAAGAAAUUUUCACCAAAGACGCUCUGUUGCAAUGUUCUGUUGGUGUAAAAUUAGGCCUACAAAGCUAUGCUUCUGCUAGACCUGCAUUGGAUUUUAAAGGAGUAAAACAAAGAAGCGAAACCCAUAAGCGUAUAUGCUUAUGUAUCUAUUUCGUAUAAGACUGAAUACGAAAUCAGAAGACAUAUUAUGUCAUUUUUGUCCAAACUGAGAAUGAAACAGAUACAGAAGCACAGCUACAGAACUUGUUUUUAUGUUAAGUGCACAAAAAAACAAACUCUGUAGCUGUGCCUACUAAUACAAAUUAAAUACAGGGCAAAAAAAAAGAUUUUUGUUUACUCUGGAAACAUAGAUAAAUAGAUAAACUCUUUAUUGCGCCAUUCACAAAGGAGUUAUAAGUUACAACAAGAUAUUCAAACAUAAUGAGUGCAAACGCGGACUUAUCGCUAAUGCAAUUUCUUCCAGCAAACCUUUGGAUGGAAAGAGACACAAGUAGACUAAGAGGGUGCAGUAAACUUAACAGUACAUACAGGAUUUCAAAAUUUUUAUAAGACGAUUUUAGAUUAAGGCAAU